This 478-nucleotide ribosomal RNA is filed under the name uncultured bacterium. Its description in RNAcentral is "partial 16S ribosomal RNA". It matches the Rfam family "Bacterial small subunit ribosomal RNA", at positions 30 to 503 of the family's 1533-position model. The record is from RNAcentral.
AUUGAACGCUGGCGGCAUGCCUUACACAUGCAAGUCGAACGGUAACGGGCCUUCGGGUGCCGACGAGUGGCGAACGGGUGAGUAAUACAUCGGAACGUGCCCGAUCGUGGGGGAUAACGAGGCGAAAGCUUUGCUAAUACCGCAUACGAUCUACGGAUGACAGCAGGGGACCGCAAGGCCUUGCGCGGACGGAGCGGCCGAUGGCAGAUUAGGUAGUUGGUGGGAUAAAAGCUUACCAAGCCGACGAUCUGUAGCUGGUCUGAGAGGAUGAUCAGCCACACUGGGACUGAGACACGGCCCAGACUCCUACGGGAGGCAGCAGUGGGGAAUUUUGGACAAUGGGCGCAAGCCUGAUCCAGCCAUGCCGCGUGCAGGAUGAAGGCCUUCGGGUUGUAAACUGCUUUUGUACGGAACGAAAAGCCUUCUUUUAAUACAGGAGGGUCAUGACGGUACCGUAAGAAUAAGCACCGGCUAACUA